This is a long non-coding RNA of Zalophus californianus (California sea lion), 4302 nucleotides long. NCBI's taxonomy places the organism in Eukaryota, Metazoa, Chordata, Mammalia, Carnivora, Otariidae. The record is from Ensembl.
CUUCCAGCUUUCCUGAUGAACUCAGCUGGAUCAUUGAGCUGCUGGAGAAGGACAGCAUGGCCUUCCAGGAGACCCUGGGCCCCUUUGACCAGGGAAGCCCCUUCAGCCAAGAGAUGCUGGAGGAGUGCCGGCAGGCCGGCCCCUACUUCCCUGGCAGCUACGGCCCAGGAGCCCCCUCCCCCGGCAGCUCUGAUGUCUCCACCGCAGGGACUGGUACUUCCCAGAGUCCCCCACUCCUCAGACUCCGGUGCAAUGUGACGUGGACCUGGAUCCAGUGACAGCAAGCUGUUCUCUAGGGGUGAGUGGGGACUCAGUGGGCAGUGCCCAUGGGGCUGAUCCUUCCCCUCAUCCUUGCUCGCCUGUAGGGUUUCCCUCCGGUACAGGAGCUGCCCCCUCAAGCCCCCCAUUCCUUUCCCUCCUGACCUUGCACUCCUCUGUCUUAGACGGCUUUCCUGACUAUAAGAAGGGGGGAUCCUAAGCAUGGGAAGCGGAAACGGGGUCGGCCUCGAAAGUGAGCAAAGAGUCUCGGGAGUGUCUGGAGGGCAAGAAGAGCAAGCAUGCCCCCAGAGGUACCCACCUGUGGGAGUUUAUCCUGGGACAUCCUCAUCCACCCGGAACUCAAUGAAGGCCUCAUGAAGUGGGAGAACCGGCAAGAGGGUGGUCUUCAAGUUCCUGCGGUCAGAGGCUGUGGCCCAGCUUUGGGGCCAAAAGAAGAAGAACAGCAGCAUGACCUACGAGAAGCUGAGCAGAGCCAUGAGGUACUACUACAAACGGGAGAUACUGGAGCGGGUGGACGGCCGGCGGCUGGUCUACAAGUUCGGCAAAAACUCCAGCGGCUGGAAGGAGGAAGAGGUUGCCGGGAGUCGGAACUGAGGGUCCGAACGGGACCCAGGACCAAACGCACAGACUUGAGGCCUGCAGCCCCCUCCUGGGGGGACCGCCAGGCCCCCCCACCAUUCAGGCAGCCUGGGGCCGUGCCAUGGAGAGAAGCUGAGGUUCGGGUUCCUUGUUCAGCCGCCAUCCUGGGAUGUGGGGCUUGUGGCCUCUCCUCUCUGCCCUCCUCCUGGAAUUACGAGCCCUGGGGUUUGAGGUGACCGGUCGGCUGACCACAGCUGCCAGCAUCGUUCCUCUUACCUGAUGCCUCCUAGACCCAACCCAGACAGCAGCUACAGACGAUGCCUUCCGCCUCAACAUGCCUGGGCUGAGCCAAGAAGGCCAGGGGGAGCAGCAGCAGGGGUGCUGCGAGAGAGGGGGCAGGACGGGGUCCUCCUGCCCCCUGCUUUCCGGACCGGCUUCCAUCUCAGUGCAUGGACUCCGCAGGCAGGGGUCAGAGCACUCCGUAAUUUAUGUGCUAUAAAUACGUCAGAUGUACAUAGAGAUCUAUUUUUUCUAAGACAUUCCCCUCCCCGCUCCUCUCCCACCGUGUGUUCGUGGUCAGACUGACCGUUCUAGGCCCUUGGCUGGGCCAGUGAGGGGCGGGGAGAUGCCAGGACUCUCAGACUGGGGCUCCUGGCUCCUUUCUCCCGUGAAUGGAAGCAGAGACCUCCAAUAAAGUGUCUUCUGCGCUUUUUCUAACCUUUGUCUUAGCUACCUGCAUACUGAAAUUUGGGCCUCUGGAGUGCAUGAGGCCCUGGGGUUGGAGGAGGGGCUGGGGCAGGAGGUCUACCCGGCUGGGGGUGAAGGCAAGAGGCAGGCCUGCAGGGUAGGGACAGGUGUCCUAGAGCAGGAGGGCUCCGUUUACAGACAAGCUGCCCCCGGGGGGGGGAGGGGGCUGGAGGGCAAGCAAAGGAAACAAGGUGAGACUGAAAGCUUCCCAGGCUCCGUGCAAGCAAGGGCAUGAGCUCGGCCAGCCAGACACUGGGCCAGCCCGGCUGCCGCCACACAUUCGUGCGGUGACCUUGGCCAAGUCAGCCCUCUGGGCCUGCUUCCUUGCUGAAAGGCUGGGGUUUGGAUUCGACACUCUGUAAGAAGUCUAGAAUUACGUAUCGAGCCUUAUGGGAUAGAUGCUUCAGAUUCCAAUCAUGUUGGCCCCAAACAGAGAAAACAAAAUGGAGAGGAGUACUUGAUAAGAAAGAAGGGGGGGAAGGAAUAAACAUUUGCCAGCCUCGUGUACGCCAGGCACUGUGCCAGACAGCCCCUCAGCCCACCUGAUCCUCUCCCAAAAAGAGAGAGAGAGAUUUAUCCCUCCCAUUUUACAGAUGCAGAAAGAGAGGUUCAAUAGGGCCAGCAACUCAGCCAAGGCCCCUAGGGCAGCACCUUGGUGCUCAGUAGCUUUUACCCUGGGGGUGUCCCCAGGGUUAGGGCUCUUCUGACUUAAUCCUCAGUACAUUCCAGAACUAUUGCUCUGUCUCCACAGUGAUAUUGCAGCCAGGUUCUAAGGGAGGAUUUUACUACGUAUGGUUCCUCAUGAAGAAUAUCUUCCAGUGGAAAGCUCCUUAAGUUUGAGGCUUCACAUUCCAGAGAGCACAUUAAAAAGGCAUUUUAUAAGUUUAAAAUGCUGUUUAGUUGUCUUGGAAAUACCAGAUUAUUCACUGAAGGCUGUGGGUAAGGAAGGGAGCUUAGAAAACCAGACGUGUGGAAGUGGGUCUUGCUCUGGAGAAAUAAGGAAUAAUAAAAGGGAAAGUCGGGGAAGUUGGUUGGAGAGGCUAGGGCGGUCAUGAAAGAAGCUAGAAUCUUCUGGAGCCAUUUUGGACAAAGUAUUCCUAUGACUGCACAAGCAGGUUAGUCCGAAGUGUGUAAGGGGAAGGGUUAGCCUCAAACAGCCCCUGGUCUCUGUUGCCGGUCAGGCUACCCUCUUAGCUGCGGAGCCUUCAGCCCCACUUAGCUUAAGAAUGACCUCAUUUUUUAGAAAUGAAGAGGUGCCUAGGCACCACUAAUUUUUCCUUCUUUUUUUUUUUAAGAUUUUAUUUAUUUAUUUGACAGAGCGAGAGAGCACAAGCAGAGGGAACAGUAGAGGGAGAGAGAGAAGCAGGCCUCCCGCCAAGCAGGGAGCCCGAUUGGGGGGGCUCGAUUCCCAGGACCCUGAGAUCAUGACCUGAGCUGGAAGGCAGAUGCUUAACCAUCUGAGCCACCCAGGCGCCCCAGCACCACUAAUUUUUCGGCCCGUGUUAUCUUGGGGUGGUCUUCAUACCCUAAAGAGGUGACCGUUGUUGCUGGAGUUGCCUAGCCAGGAGUGCAGGACGAACCUUAGGAACUCGGAGCACACUGCCCUGCUUCCCCAGUGUCUUCAGUUCUAAAAACGGAGCCACUGGCCUUGGGUGCCCACCCAAGGGUCUGAGUGGGGGAGGGGAGCUGGGACCCUGGGGCUGAGCCCCUUUGUCCUCUGCUGAGGGGCUGGGAGCGGAGGCAUCUGGGCCCAGCACUACACUCUGACCUUUGUCCUGCCAUUUUCCAGUUUAUGAGGUGCUUUCCCUCAUCCAUUAUCUCAUUACAUCCACACCAUAGCCCUUUGAGGAGACUGGGCGUCCCAUGUCCCUGAUGAGGCUAGUGGCUGGUACAAGGUCACCCCGCGGGGGACCGAUCCGAGGGCUCCUGCCUCGGCGGGAGACCGGGCGGCAGUACCCCCACGCUGCAGCUCUGGGAGGGGGGCCCCGGGAAGGGCGCCUGGGCAGCCCUGGCGCUGGGGAGGCAGGGAGGGCUCUUCUGGCCCUGGCCAGCGACAUGUUUCUUACUCAGUUGUCUUUCGCCCCAACACUGCUCUCCAGCCUCUUCCCCCUCAGGACGCUGCAGAGCCCCACGCAGAGCCCAAGGCUUGCCCUUUCUCGGUCCCCUCCUCGCGUCUUCUCUGUCAGGUGCCGGCCACCCUUACCCCCAGCUCUCACACGGCUCUGGAGCCACUGAGCUGACCCCGCCCAGAGAUGGGCCCUGCCUCCGCCCAGGGGUGUGCGGCUCCUUGGGUGGGGCUGGGCUGUUUAGGUUGUGCCCCCUGGCUGCUGGUCACCUCUUAUCUGCUUCUGUGGAAUCGGGUGGGUGUGCUGCGGGGCAGGUCGGAGGGAGGUCACCCCUCCCAUGUUUGGGUGUGCCUGUGGGGUGGGCUUUGGCCCUGGGCCUCCCUGAGAGAGGGCCCAGAUUCUCCCCCGGCAACCCAACACCAGUUCUGGGGACGUCUAACUUUCCCUGCCCUCCUGGGUGAAGUGGGUAAAGUUGUAGUUUCGUGAAGGGUUUAUUUCAGUCUGCUCUUUCACUCCAGUUCUCUCUCCCCUGCGGGCUGCGAGGGCCUCCGGGACCGCGGCUCACUCAUCUCAGCACCUUGCACAGCACCUGGCACACAGAAGGUGCUCAAUAAAUAUUUGUUAAACUGCC